Molecule: ribosomal RNA, 560 nt
Filed under: Fusarium fujikuroi
Lineage: Eukaryota; Fungi; Ascomycota; Sordariomycetes; Hypocreales; Nectriaceae
Description: eukaryotic LSU rRNA
Rfam family: 5.8S ribosomal RNA (bases 180-333)
Source: RNAcentral
UUCCGUAGGGUGACCUGCGGAGGGAUCAUUACCGAGUUUACAACUCCCAAACCCCUGUGAACAUACCAAUUGUUGCCUCGGCGGAUCAGCCCGCUCCCGGUAAAACGGGACGGCCCGCCAGAGGACCCCUAAACUCUGUUUCUAUAUGUAACUUCUGAGUAAAACCAUAAAUAAAUCAAAACUUUCAACAACGGAUCUCUUGGUUCUGGCAUCGAUGAAGAACGCAGCAAAAUGCGAUAAGUAAUGUGAAUUGCAGAAUUCAGUGAAUCAUCGAAUCUUUGAACGCACAUUGCGCCCGCCAGUAUUCUGGCGGGCAUGCCUGUUCGAGCGUCAUUUCAACCCUCAAGCCCUCGGGUUUGGUGUUGGGGAUCGGCGAGCCCUUGCGGCAAGCCGGCCCCGAAAUCUAGUGGCGGUCUCGCUGCAGCUUCCAUUGCGUAGUAGUAAAACCCUCGCAACUGGUACGCGGCGCGGCCAAGCCGUUAAACCCCCAACUUCUGAAUGUUGACCUCGGAUCAGGUAGGAAUACCCGCUGAACUUAAGCAUAUCAAUAAGCGGAGGAA